Molecule: ribosomal RNA, 253 nt
Filed under: uncultured bacterium
Lineage: Bacteria
Description: partial 16S ribosomal RNA
Rfam family: Bacterial small subunit ribosomal RNA
Source: RNAcentral
UACGUAGGGUGCAAGCGUUAAUCGGAAUUACUGGGCGUAAAGCGCACGCAGGCGGUCUUUUAAGUUUUGAGUGACAGGCGAGGGCUUAACCCUGGCAGGCCUUGGAAAACUGGAAGACUUGAGGGCGAGAGAGGGAUGCGGAAUUCCAGGUGGAGCGGUGAAAUGCGUAGAGAUCUGGAAGAACACCGAAGGCGAAGGCAGCAUCCUGGAGCGUUACUGACGCUGAUGUGCGAAAGCUAGGGGAGCGAACGGG